RNAcentral lists this ribosomal RNA (519 nucleotides) under uncultured eukaryote. Its description in RNAcentral is "bacterial SSU rRNA". It matches the Rfam family "Eukaryotic small subunit ribosomal RNA", at positions 1161 to 1704 of the family's 1831-position model. The record is from RNAcentral.
AGGGCACCACCAGGAGUGGAGCCUGCGGCUUAAUUUGACUCAACACGGGAAAACUCACCCGGCCCGGACACUGUAAGGAUUGACAGACUGAGAGCUCUUUCUUAAUUCGGUGGGUGGUGGUGCAUGGCCGUUCUUAGUUGGUGGAGCGAUUUGUCUGGUUAAUUCCGAUAACGAACGAGACUCUGGCCUAUUAAAUAGACGGUGUAUCUUGAAGUAUACCGCGCUUCUUAGAGGGACAAGCGGCGUCUAGCCGCAUGAAAUAGAGCAAUAACAGGUCUGUGAUGCCCUUAGAUGUCCGGGGCUGCACGCGCGCUACACUGAAAGAAUCAGCGUGCGAUUAGCCUGGUUCGGAAGAAUCGGGUAACCCAAGUAAAUUCUUUCGUGCUUGGGAUAGGGAAUUGCAAUUAUUUUCCAUGAACGAGGAAUUCCAAGUAAGUGCGAGUCAUCAGCUCGCGUUGAUUACGUCCCUGCCCUUUGUACACACCGCCCGUCGCUGCCCGGGACUGAGCCAUUUCGAGA